AUUGAACGCUGGCGGCAGGCCUAACACAUGCAAGUCGAACGGUAACAGGAAGAAGCUUGCUUCUUUGCUGACGAGUGGCGGACGGGUGAGUAAUGUCCGGGAAACUGCCUGAUGGAGGGGGAUAACUACUGGAAACGGUAGCUAAUACCGCAUAACGUCGCAAGACCAAAGAGGGGGACCUUCGGGCCUCUUGCCAUCGGAUGUGCCCAGAUGGGAUUAGCUAGUAGGCGGGGUAACGGCUCACCCAGGCGACGAUCCCUAGCUGGUCUGAGAGGAUGACCAGCCACACUGGAACUGAGACACGGUCCAGACUCCUACGGGAGGCAGCAGUGGGGAAUAUUGCACAAUGGGCGCAAGCCUGAUGCAGCCAUGCCGCGUGUAUGAAGAAGGCCUUCGGGUUGUAAAGUACUUUCAGCGGGGAGGAAGGGAGUAAAGUUAAUACCUUUGCUCAUUGACGUUACCCGCAGAAGAAGCACCGGCUAACUCCGUG
This 490-nucleotide ribosomal RNA is filed under the name uncultured bacterium. RNAcentral describes it as "partial 16S ribosomal RNA". It matches the Rfam family "Bacterial small subunit ribosomal RNA", at positions 30 to 507 of the family's 1533-position model. The record is from RNAcentral.